UGGGGAAUAUUGCGCAAUGGGCGAAAGCCUGACGCAGCAACACCGCGUGAGGGAUGACGGCCUUCGGGUUGUAAACCUCUUUCAGCUCCGACGAAGCGAAAGUGACGGUAGGAGCAGAAGAAGCACCGGCUAACUACGUGCCAGCAGCCGCGGUAAUACGUAGGGUGCAAGCGUUGUCCGGAAUUAUUGGGCGUAAAGAGCUCGUAGGCGGUCCGUUGCGUCUGCCGUGAAAACCCGGAGCUCAACUCCGGGCCUGCGGUGGAUACGGGCGGACUAGAGUCCGGUAGGGGAGACUGGAAUUCCUGGUGUAGCGGUGGAAUGCGCAGAUAUCAGGAGGAACACCGGUGGCGAAGGCGGGUCUCUGGGCCGGAACUGACGCUGAGGAGCGAAAGCGUGGGGAGCGAACAGGAUUAGAUACCCUGGUAGUCCACGCCGUAAACGGUGGCGCUAGGUGUGGGGAUCGUUUCCACGAUCUCCGUGCCGUAGCUAACGCAUUAAGCGCCCCGCCUGGGGAGU
RNAcentral lists this ribosomal RNA (516 nucleotides) under uncultured bacterium. RNAcentral's name for it is "bacterial SSU rRNA". It matches the Rfam family "Bacterial small subunit ribosomal RNA", at positions 355 to 881 of the family's 1533-position model. The record is from RNAcentral.